RNAcentral lists this unclassified non-coding RNA (705 nucleotides) under Hevea brasiliensis (rubber tree). The record is from RNAcentral. Lineage: Eukaryota; Viridiplantae; Streptophyta; Magnoliopsida; Malpighiales; Euphorbiaceae.
GGAACGUUGGAAAGUAAGGAUGAAAAUGAUGGUCCUGCAGAAGCAGGAGCAUAUCUUGCCUCUGGAAAUUUUGAUGGAAGGUUAGGUGGUAAAUCAUUGAACUUGAGCACUUCCAAGGCUUCUCCUGCCGAAGGACGAUGAGAAAAGCCAGGAUGUGCGCACCACAGUCCCACCAUCAUUAAACGCGUCAUUUGAUUCUCAUCAAAAUUUCCGCAUAAUCUUCGGUCAGCUGCAUCAAGAAGGUCGCCUCUUUCACAGUGAUCCCACACCCACUUCACUAAGCGUACAUGGUUUCCAUCGUCCAUUUGCACGAAUGCUCUUCUUCCACAUGCAAUCUCCAAGGCAACGACACCAAAACUGUAGACGUCAGACAUUUUGCUCGACUUUCCUGUUUGGUGACAUUCAGGAGCCUCGUAUCCAUUAGUCCAACCUUCGAGUGUUUGAGACUUGGCAUCAUGAUUCACAAGGCGAGCUAACCCGAAAUCUGCAAGCUUCGCAUUGAAAUUUGAAUCUAGCAACACAUUACUGGAUUUUAUGUCCCGAUGUAGCACACAUCGUUCACAUCCUUGGUGCAUGUAAUGCAAAGCAGAGGCCAAGCCUAAUGCAAUUUUAUACCUUUCCACCCAUUUCAGCAACGUUGUUCCUUUAAAAAGAUGGUAAUCUAGACUCAGAUUUGGCAUGUACUCGAAAACGAGUAGAAGUUGU